Molecule: ribosomal RNA, 253 nt
Filed under: uncultured bacterium
Lineage: Bacteria
Description: partial 16S ribosomal RNA
Rfam family: Bacterial small subunit ribosomal RNA
Source: RNAcentral
UACAGAGGGUGCGAGCGUUGUUCGGAAUCACUGGGCGUAAAGGGCGCGUAGGCGGCGCAACAAGUCAGUGGUGAAAGCUCGACGCUCAACGUCGAGUCGGCCACUGAGACUGUUGGGCUUGAGCACUGUAGAGGCUAAUGGAAUUCCGGGUGUAGCGGUGGAAUGCGUAGAGAUCCGGAAGAACACCGGUGGCGAAGGCGGUUAGCUGGGCAGUUGCUGACACUGAGGCGCGACAGCGUGGGGAGCAAACAGG